GAAUUGCUUAUAAGGCCAAAAUACCUGUCAUAUUGCGUGCAACACGGUAUUAGGCUAUUGUUUGCUGCUUUGAACGUUGAAACCCUGUCAAAUUUUAUAUACUAAAUGUAAAUGCAAUUGAUCGAUAAUUUCAACGUAAGGAUACCGCAUCGUGCUGGCGGUACCAAAGGGGUUAACAUUUCGAUCUCGGUUGCUAUGGCGCAAAGCAAUCACACAGCAUUUAUACAGUUUAAAAGUGACAUGAUUUUUUGCUUUACUGUCGUUGAAGGGGUAGGAUUGAAGACCUAUAAAAACUACUUGAAUGCAUGUUUCCUUACUACACUGCUGUCAAGUGGUACCGUCGAUGCAAUAGGCAAACUUCAAGUCAAAAUGCAAGUUGCAGCCACGUACCGGACUAAACACUUAAUUUCUACUGCCAUACUAGCGACGCUUUUUUUAAUCGCAGGCGAAUUCUCCGAUGCCGAUCCUGAUGGACGGCACUUCAACUACCUCGCUUUUCAUAAUCCACCGUACGAUACUUUGAUUCGAGGACCAAAUGGCACCUUUACAACUUUCGGGGCAUCGCUUGAAUUGGUUAAAUGGCUGUCUGCAAAAUUUAAAUUUACGUUUAAUGUCUCCAUGGUAAAUCAAACCCUGAUUGAAAAAUACGGAACACACGAGGCUUCGUUUUAUCAACUUAUUAACGACAAAAAUGUAGAUGGAAUAGUGUGUUCCUUUUAUUUAACUAUGGACCGAGUGAAAAGGAUGGACUUUACAAGUCAGCAAACAUGGUCUGAAGGAUUUUGUCUUAUUGUUCCAAGACCUGUAGAAGAAAGCCGAUUGUUCGCUUUCAUCGGCCCGUUUCAACCUACGGUUUGGAUGCUGAUUUUUAUUAGUCUCUUUGUUUUGGUUGACAUGAUGACUCUAUUUACUUGGUUCUACAAUCGCCAACGUUGGAAUAAUUUGGGCAGUGCGACUGUAGAAACCGAAUUAAACAAUGAACCGAAUAGUAACAGACACAAAAGGAGCGGCUCGAUCCACAAAAGCGUUUUCAAUAAUUUCAGUUCUCAUAUGAUUUAUGUAAUUAACAUCAUGACAAACCAAGGAUGCCAAGAAGCAUUUAGCCGCACUUCUUUUCGACUUUUGACUGGAGUCUGGGUUUUAUGUGCUAUGGUUUUGGUGAAUUCCUACACGGGAAUCGUCACAUCAUCACUCACAACUCCAAAAAUGAAACCGUCCAUUGGAUCGCUGGAAGAAUUGGCUGCAAGUAAAGAUAUUGGCGUACUAAUUCGACAUGAUACGUCGAUCGGGGAACAGAUUUUAAAAGCAACUUCUGGCGUUUAUAAAGUUCUGGGAGAUCAAGCCCGGCUUCAUCCGGAUCAAAUACUCGGCGACCCUUUUACAUUGGCUUCAAAACUGGAAACUGGCCGCUACGCUUAUCCAUUUCGUUUGUCGGGAACCAAUACAAAAAGGAUGGAAAAUGCCGUUUUAAAGGGUCGAAACCUUUGCCGAUUUCAGCAGGAUAUUAUUCAUGGCUUUAUAAAAAGAACAGUUCAUACACUAAAGUGCAUAGCAGAGCAUUUUCAUAUCACUGAAAGAGAAUCAGCAUCCUGGUUGUCCUUCCAAGAGGUAAACUUUCAAAAACCGGGUGGAGAAAAUGAAUUCUGCAUUUAGAAUAAACAUUUGACUUAAUGAGAACCAUUUGGUUUUCCUUCCAAGGGAAAAGAAAUGAGCAACACCACCAAAAUUGUCAAAAAGUUCAUAGUUUGUUUUGUUCACCCGUUGACUUCUACCACUUGAAUCCCCCUCCAUAAUUCCUUAUUAGAAAGGGCCCCCUCUUAUUUUUGAGGUUAAUCCUGCGCCGCUACUCCAUGGACUGAAUUCCUUGUUGGAAACUGACGAGAGAUUAGAGACGACUGA
This 1899-nucleotide unclassified non-coding RNA is filed under the name Daphnia pulicaria. RNAcentral describes it as "ionotropic receptor 93a-like, transcript variant X8". Lineage: Eukaryota; Metazoa; Arthropoda; Branchiopoda; Diplostraca; Daphniidae. The record is from RNAcentral.